Molecule: ribosomal RNA, 791 nt
Filed under: uncultured archaeon
Lineage: Archaea
Description: bacterial SSU rRNA
Rfam family: Archaeal small subunit ribosomal RNA
Source: RNAcentral
ACUGCUCAGUAACACGUGGAUAACAUGCCCUAAGGUGGGGGAUAAUCUCGGGAAACUGAGGAUAAUACCCCAUAGGUCUGAUCUGCUGGAAUGCUUUCAGGCCGAAAACUCCGGUGCCUUAGGAUUGGUCUGCGGUCUAUCAGGCAGUAGUGGGUGUAACGGACCCACUAGCCCGUGACGGAUAUGGGCCUUGAGAGAGGGAGCCCAGAGAUGGACUCUGAGACAUGAGUCCAGGCCCUACGGGGCGCAGCAGUCGCGAAAACUUCGCAAUGGGGGCAACCCCGACGAGGGAAUUCCAAGUGCCAGCACUUUGUGUUGGCUGUUCUCCUGUCUAAAAAACAGGAGGAGUAAGGGGCGGGUAAGACGGGUGCCAGCCGCCGCGGUAAUACCCGCGCCCCUAGUGGUGGUCGAUAUUAUUGAGCCUAAAACGUCCGUAGCCGGUCUUUUAAAUCCUUGGGUAAAUCGGGCAGCUUAACUGUCCGAAUUCCGGGGAGACUGGAAGACUUGGGACCGGGAGAGGUCAGAGGUACUUCUGGGGUAGGGGUAAAAUCCUGUAAUCCUGGAAGGACCACCGGUGGCGAAGGCGUCUGACUAGAACGGAUCCGACGGUGAGGGACGAAGCCCUGGGGCGCAAACGGGAUUAGAUACCCCGGUAGUCCAGGGUGUAAACGCUGCGGGCUUGGUGUUGGGGGUCCUUAGUGGGCGCCCAGUGCCGGAGAGAAGUUGUUAAGCCUGCUGCUUGGGGAGUAUGUCCGCAAGGAUGAAACUUAAAGGAAUUGGCGGGGGAGCAC